This 30-nucleotide non-coding RNA is filed under the name Rattus norvegicus (Norway rat). Lineage: Eukaryota; Metazoa; Chordata; Mammalia; Rodentia; Muridae. The record is from RNAcentral.
UCAGGGUACAAUGCUGUUAAUUAUGCAGUU